GCCGGGCACGGUGGCUCAUGCCUGUAAUCCCAGCACUUUGGGAGGCCGAGGUGGGCGGAUCACCUGAGGUCAGGAGUUCGAGACCAGCCUGACCAACAUGGUGAAACCCCGUCUCUA
Molecule: non-coding RNA, 117 nt
Filed under: Gorilla gorilla gorilla (western lowland gorilla)
Lineage: Eukaryota; Metazoa; Chordata; Mammalia; Primates; Hominidae
Also listed under: 1 other name
Source: Rfam by way of RNAcentral